Long non-coding RNA from Crotalus tigris (Tiger rattlesnake), 1257 nucleotides. RefSeq lists it as uncharacterized. Lineage: Eukaryota; Metazoa; Chordata; Lepidosauria; Squamata; Viperidae. The transcript has 3 exons. The record is from RefSeq and is a predicted model, not a curated record.
CCAAAUAAUCCAUUAAUAGGAAAAUGCCUGGGCUAGCCUGAAGUGCAACAUGACAAAUCAGCACAAUAAUUCCACUUGAAACAAGCAAACUCUGAUUUGUCAUUGCCUCCACAAUCCAGCUGCACUGCUCUAUCCUGAGGCACCACCUUACUUCUGCUCCAUCAGACAAAAAGUAGUUCUUCAGUCCAGGAAACUACAGUAUGUAAUCAUAAAAAGAAAUCUACAAUGAUCUAGAAAACUCUAUGGGGAAAGAUGACACUAUAUAGGCCCUCUAAAAAACUCCAUUAGAUUCAAAUCACACCUGUCACAAGUCAACUGAAAGGGGAAUCAUGCAAUACUGAUCUACAGUUCUGUUUACAUCAUACUAGUAUCCACAUUGACUUCCAUUAUGGCUCCUUAAUCUACCAGCUACACUGUCUUGACUGGUUCUUUCUGAAACUGCCAGUUUUGCCAGCAUUCAUUGAGAUGGGCCACAACUGUCCACUGAGGAUUCUAGGGCUUCCAGAGCUCUCACUGUAUUGAGAUAGUAUCAAGCCUCUGUGGGCUUGCCACUAACGGAAGAGGGGAGGACAGGACAAGACCAUUGGAUGGAGGCAUCCGGAGGCAGCGGAUGGGACCAGCAACAAAGGUGGCAGCAACAGCCCUUUCCCUCCCCCAUUACCUGGAUGCUGGAAGGGGGACCCUGUUUGGCGUGCCAAACAGCUGACCAGUGUGAAGAAGCAGCGGAAAGCUGGAAGCUUGCCUCGCUUCCCAGCCUGGCUAUUCUUACUGACAAUCUAGAUGUGUUUCCUCCUGUGAGCAAAGAGUCAAGGAUGACUGAAGACAUAGCCACAAGGAAGAGAAAAGAUGAUGACUACUGUGAAGAAUGAAGAAUCAGGAGUAGACUGGACCUUUGCAAUCCUUAUGAAAAAGGGACCAAACGGGAGAUCACCCACAAGCAAAAUGAACGGCAGCUCAUCAUCAUAAGUCCAAAAUAAUGGCCCCACCGUAUUGAAACCAAAUACUGGUGGUGAGAGCCCUUUCAUUAUAUGUUAAUGAAUAGCUGAAUAGCUAUCUGUUGAAUGCUUAUAUUUAAAUUUUUGCUUUAAGAGGACAUUGCAUCUGAUUGUCUAUAUGACUCUUUGCAACUCUAUAAUUCUAAAGUUGAUGUAGUUGUUUGUAGAGAGUAUUUAUUCAGCAUAAUCUGGAAAAGAGGAAAACAGAAAUUAUUUCUACCAUCUGGUUACCAUUUAGUUCUUGAUCUAAUUUAAAGCUUAG